This 333-nucleotide ribosomal RNA is filed under the name Triticum aestivum (bread wheat). RNAcentral describes it as "partial small subunit ribosomal RNA". The record is from RNAcentral. Lineage: Eukaryota; Viridiplantae; Streptophyta; Magnoliopsida; Poales; Poaceae.
AUGCGCCGCCGGCCCCCUGUUUUUCAGGUUCUGAAGAAAUGUGGGCAUUUUGAGUGGCUCGAUGACUAUGUUGAAAGGUUGAAAUUGGAGGGAUCAACCGGAACCCAAGAGCUCAAUUUUGGGGGGCGGCUUGCCGUGGAACAAGCCCCCAAUUUGGCAGACAGAGCCGAUCCGAUGAUGCACAGUGCAGAACUGAAGUGUGAAUUGAAGAAAAUUGGCAAGCAACUAAAGCAUCUGAUCGAUUUGAAGCAGCAAGCAAAUACGAUGGCUGGAGCAUUUUAUGGUUGUGUCAUUGCUAUGGGUUUAUUUUACUUGAUGUUCAUCAAUCGCUAG